GAUGAACGCUGGCGGCGUGCCUAAUACAUGCAAGUCGAGCGAACGGACGAGAAGCUUGCUUCUCUGAUGUUAGCGGCGGACGGGUGAGUAACACGUGGAUAACCUACCUAUAAGACUGGGAUAACUUCGGGAAACCGGAGCUAAUACCGGAUAAUAUUUUGAACCGCAUGGUUCAAAAGUGAAAGACGGUCUUGCUGUCACUUAUAGAUGGAUCCGCGCUGCAUUAGCUAGUUGGUAAGGUAACGGCUUACCAAGGCAACGAUGCAUAGCCGACCUGAGAGGGUGAUCGGCCACACUGGAACUGAGACACGUUCCAGACUCAUACGGGAGGCAGCAGUAGGGAAUCUUCCGCAAUGGGCGAAAGCCUGACGGAGCAACGACGCGUGAGUGAUGAAGGUCUUCGGAUCGUAAAACUCUGUUAUUAGGGAAGAACAUAUGUGUAAGUAACUGUGCACAUCUUGACGGUACCUAAUCAGAAAGCCACGGCUAACUACGU
Molecule: ribosomal RNA, 496 nt
Filed under: uncultured bacterium
Lineage: Bacteria
Description: partial 16S ribosomal RNA
Rfam family: Bacterial small subunit ribosomal RNA
Source: RNAcentral